CAAAGCAUUCCAAAUUUCGCAUCCCAUUUGCUAAAUUCCACCCUCUUAAAAUCUUGCGAGUACUCCUAAUUGUUCAACCUUCCCUCCACAUUUAUGGCAGCGGGUUACACUAACACCAACUCCAUUUCCAAGUACCGCGAUUUAUUUUAUUUUAUUUUCCUCUUUUUCAUUUCGUUUUCCGAAAAAAACUCAGACAGCAUAGAAGCGAAGCAAAACAAAUCAAAACAACUUUCGCAUAACGCAUUGCAUUGCGAUUGUUGCAAUUGGAAGAAGGAAAAAGAAAAAUUUCAGAGACUCACACAACAGACGCCACUGUCAGAUCCAAAUCGGUUUCCACUCUCAGAUCCGAAUUCAGUCAAACUGGAUCCGCUUGAGUUUCCAAACAUGAACCCCUUCUCUUCUCCCUCGCGUUUGAGGGACAUGAUUCAGGCCAUACGUGCUUGCAAAACUGCAGCAGAAGAACGUGCUGUUGUAAGAAAAGAAUGUGCUACCAUUCACGCCGCAAUAGAUGAAAAUGAUCCAGACUAUAGGCACUGGAAUCUGGCUAAGCUAAUGUUCAUCCACAUGCUUGGCUACCCCACUCAUUUUGGUCAAAUGGAGUGCCUCAAGUUGAUAGCAUCUCCUGGAUUUCCAUAGAAGAGAAUGGGUUACCUUGGCCUAAUGUUGCUUCUCGAUGAAAGACAAGAGGUUCUAAUGUUGGUCACCAAUUCUUUGAAACAAGAUCUUAAUCACACAAAUCAAUAUAUAGUGGGACUUGCUCUUUGUGCUUUAGGAAAUAUUUGUUCAGCUGAAAUGGCUCAUGAUCUUGCACCAGAGGUUGAGAGAUUGCUGCAUUUUCGAGAUCCAAAUAUUCGGAAGAAGGCAGCAUUGUGCUCUGCAAGAAUCAUAAAGAAAGUUCCAGACUUGGCAGAAAAUUUUGUCAAUCCUGCUACUGCCUUACUAAGGGAGAAGCACCAUGGAGUUUUGAUUACUGGGGUUCAGCUUUGUACAGAGCUGUGCAAAAUUAGCUCAGAAGCUCUUGAACAUGUUAGAAAGGUUUCACUAAUUGGGUUCCUGCUAGUGGCCAGUCGGAUGGUGACCGAGUUAGAUGCUGUUGAUGUUGUAGAGGUUGCUCUAAAACACCAUGCAUCAGAUCUUACCACGAAACAAUGGCUUUGGUUGCCCUAUUAAAGCUGUCUUCACGGUUCCCUUCUUGUUCAGAGAGAAUCAGGGAAAUAAUCGUUCAGUGCAAAGGGAACCUUGUGUUGGAGUUGCAGCAAAGAUCCAUAGAAUUCAAUUUGAUUAUUGCAAAGCAUCAAAAUAUCAGGCAUACACUUGUAGAGAGGAUGCCAGUUUUGGAUGAGGCAACUUUCCUUGCUAGGAGGGCUGGAUCUUUACCAGAUGUAGCUUUAACAUCGACAGGACCUUCAGUUGGUCUUCCAAAUGGAGCUGGCAAACCUGUGGCUCCUAUUGUAGAUCUUCUUGAUAUAAAUUCAGAUGAUGCCCCUGUACCAACCUCUUCUGGUGGCGAUCUUCUUCAGGACCUUCUUGGUGUUGAUCUGUCACUGGCAUCACAACAGUCUGGCGCUAGUCAACCUUCAAGAAAUGGCACAGAUGUUCUUUUGGAUCUAUUAUCUAUUGGAUCAGUUUCUGCAUCUAUUGAAUCACCUGUACAAAGAAACUCAUCUACAAUAGACAUAUUGUCCCCCAAACCAAGUAAACAGGCACCACUUUCACCAUUAGAUGAUCUAUCAUCACUUUCACUUUCUUCAAGAGCAACAGAAAACGCUGGAGCUGCUCCCACGAUGGAUUUAUUAGAUGGAUUUUCCCCCAGCCCACCAACAGAAGAAAACAAUGAACUGGUUUAUCCAUCUAUAACUGCAUUUGAGAGUAGCUCCUUGAGGUUGGUGUUCAAUUUCUCAAAACAGCCUGGAAACUCGCAAACAACCAAUAUUCAGGCCACCUUUACAAAUUUGACCAUAAAUCUAUAUACAGAUUUUGUUUUUCAGGCAGCAGUCCCAAAGUUUCUGCAGUUGCACUUAGACCCAGCUAGCGGCAAUACUCUCCCUACUAGUGGAAAGGGGUCCAUCACACAAAAUAUGAAAGUUACUAAUAGCCAACAUGGAAAGAAAUCUCUUGUCAUGCGCAUAAAGAUAGCAUACAAGAUAAAUGGCAAAGAGACACAGGAAGAAGGACAAAUUAAUAAUUUUCCUCGUGAUUUAUGCGGCCAGUUGGUCAGUGGUCUAUCUAGUUAUGCACGAAGCCCUAUAUAUUUUCCGCACUUUAUAAUCGCUUGUUCAAUAUUCAUGAUCCAAUCUUUCACAUGAGGUCUCAGUAUGGUUAAUGCAUUUAACCGGGCCACUUUUUGGAACAAAGUUGUCUAUUUGGCGGCUUCACAUCUUCACUAUAGAAUUUUCCCCCUUAGGUUGUUUAUGUAACCAUUAGUACAAAAUAUUCCUGUAUAAAAAUGUUGAAACCAAUUUUUUCUUUUCGAGGCACAAAGUAUUGUAUUACGCUGAGUUCUUUCUGUGCUUACUAUAUUCUCUAAAGGUAGUCUGUUGGUCAAUGUGUUUCAGGUUCUAAGUGUUGCAUGCA
Glycine soja is the source of this 2574-nucleotide RNA transcript. It is a transcript of the gene named AP-1 complex subunit gamma-2-like, with no coding region annotated. The record is from RefSeq and is a predicted model, not a curated record. The transcript has 12 exons. Lineage: Eukaryota; Viridiplantae; Streptophyta; Magnoliopsida; Fabales; Fabaceae.